RNAcentral lists this microRNA precursor (110 nucleotides) under Cajanus cajan (pigeon pea). RNAcentral's name for it is "miRNA gene-KK1_007716". The record is from RNAcentral. Lineage: Eukaryota; Viridiplantae; Streptophyta; Magnoliopsida; Fabales; Fabaceae.
CAAGAAGAGAAUUAUAAGUCAUAGUAUCUGGAACCAAAUUCCUCCGAUCCAUUUCCAUAAACAGCAUCAAGGCCUCAUCCACCAUCUUAACCUUACAAUACCCAUUAAUC